RNAcentral lists this ribosomal RNA (57 nucleotides) under Ficus lacor. RNAcentral's name for it is "partial 28S ribosomal RNA". Lineage: Eukaryota; Viridiplantae; Streptophyta; Magnoliopsida; Rosales; Moraceae. The record is from RNAcentral.
CAACGNGACCCCAGGUCAGGCGGGGCUACCCGCUGAGUUUAAGCAUAUCAAUAAGCG